CUCAUGUUCACCUGGAAGCUUGUACCACCUUUGGGAAGAGAAAUCAGUGAUGACCACAGCUCCCAUACUAGAGCACUGAAGGAAACAAUGUACUGAUGUCAAAGAAACACAAAUGUCCCUGGCCUUCUGGGAUUCUGCUUGGCGCCAAUGAAAGGCAAGGAGGGCGAGACCCUCCAAGAGACUCCCAUGCCUCUUGCCUUUUUUCUACCUUGCAUCCCUGAUGUUUUCAAGGAAGGAGAGUCUCUGGUGAUACUGUAACAAUACUGUAAAGAUUGGAGACCCAGAGCAGAGUGAGCCAUGACUUGUGGGGCAGAGAGGUAAGUGCCCUCAGGACAUCAUAGGGGGCUUGGGGAUAGGGACUGUGUGCACUGCUUACCAAAGCAGUGGGAAAGGAAUAGGAAAUGGCUGGGUUGGGAAUGUGGGGUCUGGAUGC
This 433-nucleotide long non-coding RNA is filed under the name Phascolarctos cinereus (koala). RNAcentral describes it as "lncRNA (ENSPCIG00000035006.1)". The record is from RNAcentral. Lineage: Eukaryota; Metazoa; Chordata; Mammalia; Diprotodontia; Phascolarctidae.